This 1847-nucleotide long non-coding RNA is filed under the name Solanum tuberosum (potato). RNAcentral describes it as "long non-coding RNA (STUB_LNC002672)". The record is from RNAcentral. Lineage: Eukaryota; Viridiplantae; Streptophyta; Magnoliopsida; Solanales; Solanaceae.
AUUAUUAGAACUAAUUAACAUAGACUUUGGUUCCUAUGAUACAUUUGUUAAUGAAUUUAAGGUAGCUGCGGCAAUACAAUUUGGCUCCUGUUGGGCCUGGCUUAUAUGUGAGAAUUUCUUUGCCUUUUAUCUGCAUAAAAUCAUUUAUCUGCUCAACUCUUUUGUUAUAAUUAACCCACAUGGCUGAAAAGUCAUUUAUUUGUUACUUCGUAAACAAAAUUUGAAGACGAAAAACUUGCUCUGGUGAAAACUCCUGAUGCUGAAAAUCCUCUUGUUUUGAAUGAGUAAAACACAUGCUUCUCUAUUUUCUUUGUUCAUUGGGAUUUUAUCUUACAUAUCCUAGUAGUUAUAUAAUAGUUGAAAUUUCACAUUUUAUCUUACAUAGCCUAGUAGGUUUAUAUUAAUGGAUGCUUCAGGGACACCACUGAACUUUUACAAGGAUACACAUGAUGAAAGUUGUUUGAACUCCAUUUGGUUCCCUUUCUUUCUACCCUUGCCGACAUGAUCUAUCAAAUGCUUAGUUUUCAACUCAAAUUCAUUGAUAUAUGUAUCCAAAUGGAAUUUACCUCCUCUUCCUGCGCCCUCACCUCCAUUCUCUCUUUCUUGCACUUUAGAUACAUGUCUUAAGAUGUGUAUGGCUCUGUUUCUUGAUUCAUGAGAAUUUUCAUAUGCCAAACUUAUUAAUGCUAGAACACAUAACAAGAUUAUGACACAAGGAAGGAAGCCAACAAUUAUUUUCGUUGGAUGGAGCUAAAUGCCUUUGCUGGUCUUUGUGGUCUUUUCCUUUCUAAGUGGCUAGUUGCAAAAAGAGACAGAAAAUAGAAAAUGUUAGGAAGUGGUGAGGGAGUGUUUAUGAAUAAGAUUUGAAGCUUAGCAUCAAAGCUUUAGCUACUCUCAUCAAAGGGUGCCUAUAUAACACAAUUAAAGAUGUAAUCUAAAGGUCAAUGAAAUGAGUAAAACUUAUAGAGAACCACGACUCAAAUUACAAUAAGGGUGGAAAUCUCACAUUUUGUUCCUUAAUAAGGGCCUAAUAUUAAGUGGAGCCAAGUCUUGCUACUUAAUUUAAAAUUGUGAUUUUCAUUCAUAGCUCAUUUGCAUAAGCUUUCUAUUUUGCUUGUAAUCAUGAUUUUCAUUCAUAGCUCAUUUGCAUAAGCUUUCUAAUUUGCUUGAAAUCAUGAUUUUCAUUCAUAGAUCAUUUGCAUAAGCUCUCUAAUUUGCUUGAUUGUGUAAUUUUUAUUUAACUUAUAAUUCAAAGAUUUUAAGUCCUCAAAGGUUAAAAAAACUGACAUUAAGUUUACAGAUUUGUUCAUUAAGUUUACCUUUUAACUGUCUCAAAUUAGUUUCUGGAUGUUUGAUUUGUGCUAACUUAUUGAAAUCUAAUGCUUUUACAUAAUCGGUGGAGUGAUUGCCUUGGUUCUCGUGGUGAUAUGCUUGUUAUGGUUCGUGGUGAUCAAUGAAGUUAGAUUUCUCAUGGCAGUGAAUUGGGAGCUAUUCAUCCAAUGGAUAAUCACUCAACACAUCUAGGGUAGAUCAAAAUGUUCUUUGCUGAAUUUUGAGAGAAACCAAAGGAUUCUUCAGAAGACGCCUAAAAGGUGGAAGGACUUAUUCGCCAAAGAAGUGGGAUAUAUCUACCACACAAGAGCAUGUCCAGGUGUUAGCAGAGUAGUGCUAAAAGACAUCUUUUAGUCUGUUCUCUUAACAAUUUAUUAGCUAUGUUUUCUUUGAAUUUCUGGUCACAGGCUAGCCAAAGUUAUUACUAGGCUACAACUUUGUAAUGUUUUCUCUUGGGUGAUUAAUAAAAAAAUUAGUUACCAAAAAAAUGUAUCUCUUAUGAAUUUUGUUUAUGC